Molecule: transfer RNA, 81 nt
Filed under: Podarcis lilfordi (Lilford's wall lizard)
Lineage: Eukaryota; Metazoa; Chordata; Lepidosauria; Squamata; Lacertidae
Description: tRNA.Ile
Rfam family: tRNA (bases 7-65)
About the family: Transfer RNA (tRNA) molecules are approximately 80 nucleotides in length. Their secondary structure includes four short double-helical elements and three loops (D, anti-codon, and T loops). Further hydrogen bonds mediate the characteristic L-shaped molecular structure. tRNAs have two regions of fundamental functional importance: the anti-codon, which is responsible for specific mRNA codon recognition, and the 3' end, to which the tRNAs corresponding amino acid is attached (by aminoacyl-tRNA synthetases). tRNAs cope with the degeneracy of the genetic code in two manners: having more than one tRNA (with a specific anti-codon) for a particular amino acid; and 'wobble' base-pairing, i.e. permitting non-standard base-pairing at the 3rd anti-codon position.
Source: RNAcentral
GCGGUAUAGCUCAGUUGGUUAGAGCACGAUGCUGAUAAUGCCAAGGUUGCAGGUUUGAUCCCUGUAUGUGGGGCAUCUGCA